Molecule: long non-coding RNA, 614 nt
Filed under: Arabidopsis lyrata
Lineage: Eukaryota; Viridiplantae; Streptophyta; Magnoliopsida; Brassicales; Brassicaceae
Description: long non-coding RNA (ALYR_LNC001120)
Source: RNAcentral
UUCGGUUCUCGGUUUAUUCGGUUCGGUUAUAGGAUUUAAAAUCAAUUCCGAAAUAAAAAUCUAAUUCGGUUCGAAUAAACCGAAUUUUAUACCAAAAAUUUAAAUAAUGGGCUCAAAUAACAAAUACAUAUAAUUACCGACUACAAAAAUUGGGCCAAAUAAAGAUAAAAGGCCCAAAAUAUCUAAAUGAAUCACAAAACAAAUCUAUUAGAUUACAAGCCCAAAUCCAAUAUACAUUAACAUUAGGGUUUCGAGAAAAGACGAUGUACGGCAACGACGACGGACUGCGGCGGUCCAAGCCACCGAGAACCAAGACCACUGUUACAAACUCUUCGCCGCUACUCUCUUCCAAUCCACCGGAUAUGACAAUAUAACAAAUCUCUAAACAUCAAAAGACUCUGUUUAACGAGUAAAACACAUCAAAGACACUAACAAGCAUAGAUAGUACAUGAAAAGUAAGUUUAACGAUAAAAAGGGAGAGCUUACAAGUUAUCUGAAUAUCGCGAGGGAUCGAAGGAUGAAGAGCUUUGUCUAGGACACGAUCUCAACGAGAAAUAGGGAGAGUUGUAGAAGAUAAGAAGAGAGGUGGGGAAGAAAAAUCUAAGGAAAAUAGA